UAACUAAUUAGUAUGUAACGUGACUCACUGUGCUUCCCCCUUUAUACCAGAGACCUGGCCUUUUCCCAUUUUUCCUUCGUGCCAUUGAGCUUCACCAAAUCAGAGAACCACUCUCCCCAUUUCGUCACUCAUCACUCUCCCGCCGUCACUUUGCUCACUCACUGUCGCUCCUCUUCCCCACUCACCACUCACCUCUCAUGCAUGACUUCGCCAUCGAUCACGAGAACCAUCGCUCCUCUUCGUCUUCCUGCUCUGACCGUCGCUGCGAGCUCAACGGCGGGAAGACUCGGCGCUCUCAAUAUACAGUCAGAGUGUGGGAGUGGCGACAGAGAACUUCGUAAUCGUGCAGAAGGGAGCUUCAUUUGCAGGUAGUAAGUGACAGCACAGAAGGAUCGAGCUCCAUUUGCCGCUUGUGGAACAAUGGCGUAGAAGGGAGCUGCUGGGGAGCAAUCAUCGAAUUGGGUGGGGCUUGGGUGAUCCUUUGGCUUGCUAUGCUUUGGGCCUCUUGUGGCCCUGGCGCUGGUCCAAAAAAAAAAAUCACAGCAAUACAUACAUAUGCGUUAUUAAAUGACCAUUGUAACCAUAAAGAUAUUAUUAUCUUAGCUCAGCAAAAUCAAAGGCCACUAAUCUAAUCUCCACCCACCUCACUGCCAAACCGCCCAUAUUUCUCACUCAACGGUACUCAAACACAAAAUACACACACACACGAGGAAGAAGAAGGGAGGAGGAAGCCGUGCUAUCGUUUCGCCUCGGCUCACCAACCAGCCGCGCCAUCGCUACCACGUCCCGCUGCCGUCGUGCCGCCACCUCCAGACGCCAUGGCCGCCACCAUUUGCGAAGAGGGAAGAGAGAGCUCGCGGGUGAGAGAGGGAGUGUCGCGCCAGCCAUUGCCUCUGCGCCACCGUCGUUGACGAGCUCAGCCGCCUCGCCAUUGUUGCCGCCGAGGGUUUUGCCGCUGUUGAGGAGAAGACGCUGUUGCGUUGGUUGUUGUCGUCGAGAGAGAAGCUGUCGGGUCGCACAGAGAGAGAGAGAGAGAGAGAAAGAGAGAGCACGAGGAGCAGAGGAGUGAAGGGAGACACGCGCCCAGCCACCGCCGCUUCUGCCACUGCCGUCAUCGGAAACGCUGCCGCCGUCGUCACCGGAGUUGCAGCUGCUUCGCUCUUGAUUUCUUUUGUGCAGUAAGUUACUUCUGCUUUGAAAACUCAUUUGUCGCUUUUCUGUAAUUGCCAUGAUGUAAGGAUGAUUUAUUUUUUACUUGUCCCAAUUAUGCUCUCAAUGGCUACUGAUCAAGUUUGAUUUUAGUAUAAAAAAAAUAUUUUAUGUACUCAUAUUUAUCUUGUAGAGCCAUUGCAUGAGAUUAACACAACUCUAUAUGGAAACUAUUUGAAUAUAAGAAAUUAAGAAUAGUGAUGAAAGUUAUCCUUUUUUGUGCUCAAGAGGUGGAGCUACAUGAAAUUGCUUGAUAAUAAUCACAUGAUGCUCUUUGCCCGUCGUCUGUCGCUGUGUUUGCUGCCAGCUUACCAUCUUCAAAGGUCAAUGCUCUGUUCGUGGCUCAUUGUAAUAAUGUAACAUUGUUAUUCAUUUUUUUGCUCUAUUCAUAAGGGUUAUUGAUCUUUGAAUUAUUCUUGAAUGAUUUGUGUUUUCAAUUUUUCAUUCAUUGAUUGUUGAUUAGCUCUUACUGCUGUCUGUGAUUAUUCAUGGUAAAUGUGCUGCUGUCCUGUUAUUCUUUGUGCUUUUGUGGCUUAAUUGUGAUUAAAUUGUGAUUGUCUUGAUCAAAUUAUUGAGGAUUGUUGCCUCCAGAUUUGGAUGCUCCAAUUGAAUAUCUAUAGUUUUUGUUUUCAUGAUUUGUUGGUUUGUUUGUGAUUAUUUAAAAUUUGGAAUGCUUUGGCUGGGUU
This is a non-coding RNA of Arachis ipaensis, 1895 nucleotides long. The record is from RefSeq and is a predicted model, not a curated record. NCBI's taxonomy places the organism in Eukaryota, Viridiplantae, Streptophyta, Magnoliopsida, Fabales, Fabaceae.